Molecule: small RNA, 83 nt
Filed under: Marmota monax (woodchuck)
Lineage: Eukaryota; Metazoa; Chordata; Mammalia; Rodentia; Sciuridae
Source: RNAcentral
GCUGGGUGUGGUGGCACAUACCUGUAAUCCCAGCACCUUGGGAUGCUGAGGCAGGAGGAUUAUAAGUUCAAAGCCAGCCUCAA